This 1354-nucleotide ribosomal RNA is filed under the name Pediococcus ethanolidurans. Its description in RNAcentral is "bacterial SSU rRNA". It matches the Rfam family "Bacterial small subunit ribosomal RNA", at positions 51 to 1401 of the family's 1533-position model. Lineage: Bacteria; Bacillati; Bacillota; Bacilli; Lactobacillales; Lactobacillaceae. The record is from RNAcentral.
AUGCUUGCAUCGAAGAUGAUUUUAACUAUAAAGUGAGUGGCGAACGGGUGAGUAACACGUGGGUAACCUGCCCAGAAGUGGGGGAUAACACCUGGAAACAGAUGCUAAUACCGCAUAACAAAAUUAACCGCAUGGUUGAUUUUUAAAAGAUGGCUUCGGCUAUCACUUCUGGAUGGACCCGCGGCGUAUUAGCUAGUUGGUGAGAUAAAGGCUCACCAAGGCAGUGAUACGUAGCCGACCUGAGAGGGUAAUCGGCCACAUUGGGACUGAGACACGGCCCAGACUCCUACGGGAGGCAGCAGUAGGGAAUCUUCCACAAUGGACGCAAGUCUGAUGGAGCAACGCCGCGUGAGUGAUGAAGGCUUUCGGGUCGUAAAACUCUGUUGUUGGAGAAGAACGUGUGUGAGAGUAACUGCUCAUGCAGUGACGGUAUCCAACCAGAAAGCCACGGCUAACUACGUGCCAGCAGCCGCGGUAAUACGUAGGUGGCAAGCGUUAUCCGGAUUUAUUGGGCGUAAAGCGAGCGCAGGCGGUCUUUUAAGUCUAAUGUGAAAGCCUUCGGCUUAACCGAAGAAGUGCAUGGAAACUGGGAGACUUGAGUGCAGAAGAGGAGAGUGGAACUCCAUGUGUAGCGGUGAAAUGCGUAGAUAUAUGGAAGAACACCAGUGGCGAAGGCGGCUCUCUGGUCUGCAACUGACGCUGAGGCUCGAAAGCAUGGGUAGCGAACAGGAUUAGAUACCCUGGUAGUCCAUGCCGUAAACGAUGAAUGCUAAGUGUUGGAGGGUUUCCGCCCUUCAGUGCUGCAGCUAACGCAUUAAGCAUUCCGCCUGGGGAGUACGACCGCAAGGUUGAAACUCAAAAGAAUUGACGGGGGCCCGCACAAGCGGUGGAGCAUGUGGUUUAAUUCGAAGCUACGCGAAGAACCUUACCAGGUCUUGACAUCUUCUGCUAACCUAAGAGAUUAGGCGUUCCCUUCGGGGACGGAAUGACAGGUGGUGCAUGGUUGUCGUCAGCUCGUGUCGUGAGAUGUUGGGUUAAGUCCCGCAACGAGCGCAACCCUUAUUAUUAGUUGCCAGCAUUAAGUUGGGCACUCUAGUGAGACUGCCGGUGACAAACCGGAGGAAGGUGGGGACGACGUCAAAUCAUCAUGCCCCUUAUGACCUGGGCUACACACGUGCUACAAUGGACGGUACAACGAGUUGCGAGACCGCGAGGUUUAGCUAAUCUCUUAAAACCGUUCUCAGUUCGGACUGCAGGCUGCAACUCGCCUGCACGAAGUUGGAAUCGCUAGUAAUCGCGGAUCAGCAUGCCGCGGUGAAUACGUUCCCGGGCCUUGUACACACCGCCCGUCACA